This 194-nucleotide non-coding RNA is filed under the name Oscillospiraceae bacterium. Its description in RNAcentral is "6S RNA". It matches the Rfam family "6S / SsrS RNA". From Rfam's summary of the family: E. coli 6S RNA was the first non coding RNA to be sequenced, but its function was unknown until recently. It consists of 184 nucleotides that fold into an extended hairpin structure with a large single-stranded internal bulge. The record is from RNAcentral. Lineage: Bacteria; Bacillati; Bacillota; Clostridia; Eubacteriales; Oscillospiraceae.
UGAUUCCUGCUGUGUUCGAGUAAAUGCGGCCCAUUAUAAUCCAACACUUAUUUAAAAGGAAGCUCUGAUAUACUCCCGGACGGAUUGCAGACCUCCCGGCCUAGCCGGACGAAGGGAGCGUGAACACCUGGGGAGGGCAUCCACCUGUCAUUGACGGGUUUUAAGCAGCCGCGUGACGGCAUGGCGGGAAUCUC